UGAGCAAUCUGCCCUUCUCUUCGGAAUAAGCGUGGGAAACCGCGUCUAAUGCCGAAUACGACCUCCUUUCGCAUGAUCGGAGGUGGAAAGCUCCGGCGGAGAAGGAUGAGCUCGCGGCCUAUCAGCUAGUUGGUGUGGGUAAUGGCCCACCAAGGCGACGACGGGUAGCCGGCCUGAGAGGGUGACCCGGCCACACUGGACUGAGACACGGCCCAGACCUCCGUAGGGA
Molecule: ribosomal RNA, 229 nt
Filed under: uncultured bacterium
Lineage: Bacteria
Description: partial 16S ribosomal RNA
Rfam family: Bacterial small subunit ribosomal RNA
Source: RNAcentral